RNAcentral lists this long non-coding RNA (2201 nucleotides) under Heterocephalus glaber (naked mole-rat). RNAcentral describes it as "lncRNA (ENSHGLG00000042239.1)". The record is from RNAcentral. Lineage: Eukaryota; Metazoa; Chordata; Mammalia; Rodentia; Bathyergidae.
CAGCAAAAUAGGAGCUGACCUUUACCAACCAUUUCCUAAGCAGCAGGCCAAGCGCCAUACAAACUGCCUUAUUGAAGACCCUGGCUCUACUGGAAAACGAAUUCUUUUAGUUGCAUUCACCUCUUGCAAAGUCCUUGGAGGAUGCAGGAAGCUGAACUUCAGGGGAGGCACCAAGAGCGACUACCUAGACCCUCUCUCUCAUAGUUCCAAGGCUGCCCUGCUGUCUCCAUGGUGGGAGUCACCAUCGCUAAGCCCCGUGCACACAGCCUGGAGAGAGAGGUCCGCAGACCCUGACCAAGGUAGGCAGGAGACAGCGGACACACUCUGUCACUUCCUGCGCCUGAGGGGGCCUGAUGGCCUUGGGGCAGAUGGCCUCACAGUGUCCAGCUGAUGGCCUGGUCAGCACACCCCCCUGCAUGGGCUCUCCUGGCUUCCCGCCUCUCCCCUCGUGCUUUGCUCUUCCUUCCCAAGCUGUGGCUUAUUAGGUAUAAAUGCACAUCAUCCACAUUAGGGGAAAAAAUACAGAUGGCUCCAGGCUGGAGAAAGAACAUGGAUUUUGUUCUGUGAUGCGUAGGAAGGUCACACUCCCAGCUGGGCAGAAGAUAGAGGUAAAAAGCAAAGGCUCAAGACAGAGGGUCUGGAUGGUGGCUAUGGCACUAGUCUGGGUGGAGCCAGGGCUGAUCGGGCAAACUUGGGGUACUUGUCUGGUAUUUGGGGGUUGGCUGCCUUUUUCUGGAAGAAACAGUGAGAGAGGGAAAGAAAUGAAGCCUGCAGCUGCGAAGCUCAUCUACCCCCGGCCCAUCUGUUCCUGAGGUCAGAUUGCACCUGGGGAGUUUCCCUCAUCCUGUCAAACUCCACCAACACCUGCAUGGAAAUCCUAUGCUCUGUCAGAUACCGGGGUUUUAGGGAUGCCUCUUGGAUGGGGGCCCUGAAAUCCAGUUCUGGAGAAACAUUGCUGGAAAGGACUACCUGUUUCAAAGGUGCUGCUUAGAGCCCUGUACUCUAUGCUCCCUAGGAUGCAGUCUUGGCUCUUGUGCUUCUCCCCUGAGAAAGGAUUUUCCCUGAGACUACCUGUUGGCCUGCUCUCAGAGAGCUUCCCUGGUCCAGCCCUUCCCUCUCUCAGGUCUGACUCUCCUGCCCUCUCUGGCUCACUCUCCUCUGAAGCAGGCGGCCCACAGGCCACUGGGCCCCAGCUUACACCCAGGACCUGAGCAAACUGUACCCUCCAGAAGGCCAAGGACUCCUAACUUGCUAUUUCGGCACCCAACAGUAUGUUUUAACAGGCUGGGUAACAGAAACCAGUACCAACUUGCUAGGUGGCCAAGGAGGCCCUGCACUGUGUUCCACUCCCACAGGUUCUGGGUUGGGAGCCUGCCGACCUGGCGCCUUCUCGUCAUUCGACCCACAGCUCUCCCUCUGGACACUUUUCUAGCAGCCCGUGGGGCUCCGACAGGAACACAGUACCAGUCUUUCACCUGGAGGCCUGCUCUCCUCCACUUUCUUCGUGUGGUGGGGACUGCCUGGGCCCUGUUCCACUGCGGUUCCCGGGGAAAGGAGACUGAGCACCACCGCUCUGAAGAAGGAUACUGAGGGCUCUGCUGACAGCUCCUCUGCCCUCCCGAUCCGGCCACCUGCCUCCUCAGCAGUACCCCCGUUUACCAACUGUUUUCGUGUAUAUCGACUUAUCUAUUCUCGCAACAAAAAGGCAGAUGAAGAGCCUGAGACCCAGAAGGUUAAGAGACUUGCUAGAGCCUCAGGCCAGCAGCGUCUCAGCGAGGAGGUCUGAUUGCAGGGCAGAGCUCCACAGCUCUCCACCACACACACUGGAUGGUGCAGCUGAAGGAACCAGGUCCGCUGGUCAUCCCAGCGCAGAGGGCUGGCUGGCUGGGAACACUGGUCAUGACUUUGAGAUAAAGUACUGUUCAUCAAUCACUCUGGCAGUUAAUUUUAUGUGCCAGUUUGACUAAGUUAAAGGAUGCCCAGAGACAUAAUAAAACAUCAUUUCUGAGUGGGUCCAUGAGAGUUUCUGGAAGUGUUCAGCAUCUGAGUCAGUAGACAGAGUAAAGAAUGUGGGUGGGCAUCGUUCUACCUGUUGGGAUGUAGAUAGAACAAAAAUGAAGGAAGAGUGAAUUCUCUCUUUUGUUAAGCUGGGACAUUUAUCUCCUCCCGCCCGUGGGCCCCAGAGUUUCUGAUCUUCCAAC